RNAcentral lists this non-coding RNA (26 nucleotides) under Mus musculus (house mouse). The record is from RNAcentral. Lineage: Eukaryota; Metazoa; Chordata; Mammalia; Rodentia; Muridae.
UAAAAUGGUCCUACCGAUGUGAGGCU